UCUGCAAAUUUGGAAAGGAAUUAACGAGCUGCCAAAAUUUGGUUCAUUGAUGUGAUUGCGAAGGAUAUAUAUACGUAAGUAUAGUACACAAUACGUACAUUCGAUAUGAAGGAUGAUGAUGGACUGCCAGUAUCAACGCCCACAUCGUCCUCGCAUUCUGGAAUUUCCAAGAAGGACCACUCUUCGGAUGCUUCUAGCCUGUUUGGGCGUGGCCGCUACAAGUUUUGGGCACUCGCAGCCAUUUUGCUGCUGUCAUUUUGGUCAAUGCUUACCGGCACUGUCUCCCUCCGAUGGUCGGCCGGCAAUCUCAACCGCAUUGGUGAGGAAUUCAGCUCCCCUGCUGCCGAAGAAGAUCUCGACGCCCUCGAUCUUGAGGAGAGGGAGAAAUUGGUGAGGCAAAUGUGGGAAGUGUACAUCAACAACCAGCGGAACCGUUUGACAAGAUUUUGGCAGGACGCUUUCGCGGCUGCCUAUGAGGAUUUGACCAGCGAGGAGACUGAAGUUAGAGAAACUGCCACCUCUGAGAUUGCAAUGAUGUCUGUUCGCUAUCUUCCAUUACUACAAUCUUCAGCUUGAGUACGUCCAAGUUCUAAACAAGCAGCACCGAGCAACGAGCAGGAUGAAAUCACAAGCAUGGACUACACGAUGCCGACGAACUGCUACACAUUGUACCCUGCAUUACUUGGAACCAAGAGAAGCUUUCGUGUUCGAUUAGAGUAGUGGCAUGAAGAACUCAGCCUUCAAGCCCUUGGCAUUAAACCCGACCUCCUCAAUCUUCCACGACUCCUGCAGCUCCCUCUUAUGGUUCGCCGACUGCUCGCCAUAUCUGAAAACGGUAAAAUUGGUCUUGCCGCUGUGGGCGAUGUUAACUCCAUCGACAUACUUGUAGUCCUCGAUUACAGAUUCGGAGCUUGUCUCCCAGAAGACGUCUCCGUCUUCCUUGCUGGUCUUAACCGAAAGCAGUCGAGAAUCCUCGAACUUAACCAGGAGGCCCGAUCUCUGGCUGAAGUAUCCCCAAAUGGUGUGGUGGAUGAUCUCGUAUUUGGGGCCACAUUGCGCCUCCAGCGUCGCCUGGCUCGCGUCCAUCUUCAGGAUGAAGCAAUCCUCGUCGUUGAUGAUCUUCUCGCCGAUGCAGACGGCGUCGAUGAAGAGAUUCGCGGUGGCUCGGGGGUCCAGGCCCUGCAAGAAGCGGCGGAGG
Andrographis paniculata is the source of this 1198-nucleotide RNA transcript. RefSeq lists it as uncharacterized. The record is from RefSeq and is a predicted model, not a curated record. The transcript is spliced from 4 exons. NCBI's taxonomy places the organism in Eukaryota, Viridiplantae, Streptophyta, Magnoliopsida, Lamiales, Acanthaceae.